Molecule: ribosomal RNA, 410 nt
Filed under: uncultured bacterium
Lineage: Bacteria
Description: bacterial SSU rRNA
Rfam family: Bacterial small subunit ribosomal RNA
Source: RNAcentral
CUACUCUUGACAUCCAGAGAACUUUCCAUAGAUGGAUUGGUGCCUUCCGGAACUCUGAUACAGGUGCUGCAUGGCGUGUCGUCAGCUCGUGUCGUGAGAUGUUGGGUUAAGUCCCGUAACGAGCGCAACCCUUAUCCUUAGUUGCUACCAUUUAGUUGGGCACUCUAAGGAGACUGCCGGUGAUAAACCGGAGGAAGGUGGGGACGACGUCAAGUCAUCAUGGCCCUUAUGGGUAGGGCUACACACGUGCUACAAUGGCCGGUACAGAGGGCCGCAAACUCGCGAGAGUAAGCUAAUCCCUUAAAGCCGGUCCUAGUCCGGAUUGCAGUCUGCAACUCGACUGCAUGAAGCUGGAAUCGCUAGUAAUCGCGGAUCAGAAUGCCGCGGUGAAUUCGUUCCCGGGUCUUGUA